This 72-nucleotide transfer RNA is filed under the name Marmota marmota marmota (Alpine marmot). It matches the Rfam family "tRNA". Rfam says of the family: Transfer RNA (tRNA) molecules are approximately 80 nucleotides in length. Their secondary structure includes four short double-helical elements and three loops (D, anti-codon, and T loops). Lineage: Eukaryota; Metazoa; Chordata; Mammalia; Rodentia; Sciuridae. RNAcentral also lists the same sequence under 1 other name. The record is from Rfam by way of RNAcentral.
GGGGGUACAGCUCAGUGGUAAAGCAUGUGCUUAGAAUGCACAAGGCCCUGGGUUCAGUCCCUAGCACACCUC